Molecule: ribosomal RNA, 337 nt
Filed under: uncultured bacterium
Lineage: Bacteria
Description: bacterial SSU rRNA
Rfam family: Bacterial small subunit ribosomal RNA
Source: RNAcentral
AGGGUUUGAUUCUGGCUCAGGACGAACGCUGGCGGCGUGCCUAACACAUGCAAGUCGAGCGGGGAACGGAUGGUAGCUUGCUACUGUUUGUUUCUAGCGGCGGACGGGUGAGUAACGCGUGAGCAACCUGCCUUUAUCAGGGGGAUAACGCAUCGAAAGAUGUGCUAAUACCGCGUAAGACCACAGCUUCACAUGGAGCGGGGGUCAAAGGAGCAAUCCGGAUAAAGAUGGGCUCGCGUCCGAUUAGCUAGUUGGUGAGAUAACAGCCCACCAAGGCGACGAUCGGUAGCCGACCUGAGAGGGUGAUCGGCCACAUUGGAACUGAGAGACGGUCCAG